Molecule: small nucleolar RNA, 74 nt
Organism: Callipepla squamata (scaled quail)
Lineage: Eukaryota; Metazoa; Chordata; Aves; Galliformes; Odontophoridae
Source: Rfam
GGUGCAAGUGAUGAUUUCAAGCGACCAAAGCCUGAGAGUUUGUGAUUACAGCUUUUUUUGGCGACUGAUGUACC